AGUGGCGGACGGGUGAGUAACGCGUAAGAAUCUAACUUCAGGACGGGGACAACAGUGGGAAACGACUGCUAAUACCCGAUGUGCCGCGAGGUGAAACCUAAUUGGCCUGAAGAAGAGCUUGCGUCUGAUUAGCUAGUUGGUGGGGUAAGAGCCUACCAAGGCGACGAUCAGUAGCUGGUCUGAGAGGAUGAGCAGCCACACUGGGACUGAGACACGGCCCAGACUCCUACGGGAGGCAGCAGUGGGGAAUUUUCCGCAAUGGGCGAAAGCCUGACGGAGCAACGCCGCGUGAGGGAGGAAGGUCUUUGGAUUGUAAACCUCUUUUCUCAAGGAAGAAGUUCUGACGGUACUUGAGGAAUCAGCCUCGGCUAACUCCGUGCCAGCAGCCGCGGUAAUACGGGGGAGGCAAGCGUUAUCCGGAAUUAUUGGGCGUAAAGCGUCCGCAGGUGGUCAGCCAAGUCUGCCGUCGAAUCAGGUUGCUUAACGACCUAAAGGCGGUGGAAACUGGCAGACUAGAGAGCAGUAGGGGUAGCAGGAAUUCCCAGUGUAGCGGUGAAAUGCGUAGAGAUUGGGAAGAACAUCGGUGGCGAAAGCGUGCUACUGGGCUGUAUCUGACACUCAGGGACGAAAGCUAGGGGAGCGAAAGGGAUUAGAUACCCCUGUAGUCCUAGCCGUAAACGAUGGAUACUAGGCGUGGCUU
Molecule: ribosomal RNA, 700 nt
Filed under: uncultured bacterium
Lineage: Bacteria
Description: bacterial SSU rRNA
Rfam family: Bacterial small subunit ribosomal RNA
Source: RNAcentral